GACGAACGCUGGCGGUGUGCUUAACACAUGCAAGUCGAACGGUAAGGCCCUUUCGGGGGUACACGAGUGGCGAACGGGUGCGUAACACGUGAGUAACCUGCCCUCAUCUCUGGGAUAACAGUCGGAAACGGUUGCUAAUACUGGAUAUGAGCUUGCAAGGCAUCUUGUGGGUUGGAAAGAUUUUUUUUGGUUGGGGAUGGACUCGCGGCCUAUCAGCUUGUUGGUGAGGUAGUGGCUCACCAAGGCUUCGACGGGUAGCCGGCCUGAGAGGGCGACCGGCCGCAUUGGGACUGAGAUGCGGCCCAAACUACGACAGGAGGCAGCAGUGGGGAAUAUUGCACAAUGGACGGAAGUCUGAGGCAGCAACGCCGCGUGCGGGAUGACGGCCUUCGGGUUGUAAACCGCUUUCAAUUGUGAAGAAGCCUUUUUGUGACGGUAGCAGUAGAAGAAGCACCGGCUAACUACGUG
RNAcentral lists this ribosomal RNA (468 nucleotides) under uncultured bacterium. RNAcentral describes it as "partial 16S ribosomal RNA". It matches the Rfam family "Bacterial small subunit ribosomal RNA", at positions 28 to 507 of the family's 1533-position model. The record is from RNAcentral.